Acanthosepion pharaonis is the source of this 112-nucleotide non-coding RNA. The record is from the annotation of a GenBank genome assembly. Lineage: Eukaryota; Metazoa; Mollusca; Cephalopoda; Sepiida; Sepiidae.
AGGGUCAUAUCAUGUUUAAACACUGGUUCUCAUAUGAUCACUGGAGUUAAGAAAUGUUGAGUCUAGUCAGUAUCUAGAUGGGUGACCACGUGGAAAUAGCAGGUGCAGUAAG